This 511-nucleotide ribosomal RNA is filed under the name Theileria cervi. RNAcentral describes it as "SSU rRNA". It matches the Rfam family "Eukaryotic small subunit ribosomal RNA", at positions 551 to 1094 of the family's 1831-position model. Lineage: Eukaryota; Apicomplexa; Aconoidasida; Piroplasmida; Theileriidae. The record is from RNAcentral.
GAGGGCAAGUCUGGUGCCAGCAGCCGCGGUAAUUCCAGCUCCAAUAGCGUAUAUUAAAAUUGUUGCAGUUAAAAAGCUCGUAGUUGGAUUUCUGCUGCUCCGCAUUUUCCCUUUGAGGGGUUUUUGCGCUGUGGCUUAUUUCGGACUGUGUUAUGCACUGUCCGGAUGUUUACUUUGAGAAAAUUAGAGUGCUCAAAGCAGGCUUUUGCCUUGAAUAGUUUAGCAUGGAAUAAUAAAGUAGGACUUUGGUUCUAUUUUGUUGGUUUUAGGUACCAAAGUAAUGGUUAAUAGGAACAGUUGGGGGCAUUCGUAUUUAACUGUCAGAGGUGAAAUUCUUAGAUUUGUUAAAGACGAACUACUGCGAAAGCAUUUGCCAAGGAUGUUUUCAUUAAUCAAGAACGAAAGUUAGGGGAUCGAAGACGAUCAGAUACCGUCGUAGUCCUAACCAUAAACUAUGCCGACUAGAGAUUGGAGGUCGUCAGUUUUUACGACUCCUUCAGCACCUUGAGAG